Non-coding RNA from Penicillium ucsense, 73 nucleotides. The record is from the annotation of a GenBank genome assembly. Lineage: Eukaryota; Fungi; Ascomycota; Eurotiomycetes; Eurotiales; Aspergillaceae.
GCCCCGGUAGUUUAAUUGGUUAAAACUCCAAUCUCAUACAUUGGUAAUAAGAGUUCAAUUCUCUUCCAAGGCU